AGGACGAACGCUGGCGGCGUGCUUAACACAUGCAAGUCGAGCGGUAAGGCCUUUCGGGGUACACGAGCGGCGAACGGGUGAGUAACACGUGGGUGAUCUGCCCUGCACUCUGGGAUAAGCCUGGGAAACUGGGUCUAAUACCGGAUAUGACCUGCUCUCGCAGUGGGGGGUGGGUAGGAAAGUAUUUAUCGGGUG
Molecule: ribosomal RNA, 195 nt
Filed under: uncultured soil bacterium
Lineage: Bacteria
Description: partial 16S ribosomal RNA
Rfam family: Bacterial small subunit ribosomal RNA
Source: RNAcentral